Molecule: ribosomal RNA, 402 nt
Filed under: uncultured bacterium
Lineage: Bacteria
Description: bacterial SSU rRNA
Rfam family: Bacterial small subunit ribosomal RNA
Source: RNAcentral
UGGGGAAUCUUGGACAAUGGGGGCAACCCUGAUCCAGCGAUGCCGCGUGAGCGAAGAAGGCCUUAGGGUUGUAAAGCUCUUUCGCCCGCGACGAUGAUGACGGUAGCGGGAGAAGAAGCCCCGGCUAACUCCGUGCCAGCAGCCGCGGUAAUACGGAGGGGGCUAGCGUUGUCCGGAAUUACUGGGCGUAAAGCGCGCGUAGGCGGUCCACCAAGUCGGGGGUGAAAGCCCGGGGCUCAACCCCGGAAUGUCCUCCGAGACUGUUGGACUGGAGUUCGGGAGAGGACAGCGGAAUUCCCAGUGUAGAGGUGAAAUUCGUAGAUAUUGGGAAGAACACCGGUGGCGAAGGCGGCUCUCUGGCCCGCAACUGACGCUGAGGCGCGAAAGCGUGGGGAGCAAACA